CACAUGGUUCUCAAUAGCUAAUACAACAUUUUCCUUCAUAGACCUCCUCUUAUUACAAAAAAAAGAAAAUUAAGUCUUACCAGUUUUUUUAAAACUGAAAUUUUAUAAAUUACUUUCUAUCACCAAAAUGAAAUGAGUAUACAACGAGAAAAAAAAUCUGAAAAAUUAACAAAUAUAUAGAAAUUAAACAACACACUCUUGAGCAUGCUCUUGUGAAAGGCUGAAAAAGGUAAUACUGUAAAGAUGUCCAUCCUGCUCAAUGCAAUCUACAGAUUUAAUGCAAUGUUUUUCAAAUUUCUCACUGCAUUUUUGAAGAAACAGAAACAGCAAUCCCUCGAGUAUACAGAAUCUCUACAUACAAUGAAGUACCCAAAAAUAUUAAAAACAAAACAAAACAAUGUUGGAGGCAUUACAGUUCCUGAUUUCAAAACACAAAGCUACAGAAUUAAAACAAUUUGGUAUGAGUAUAAAGGUGAAAAAGUAGACUAAUAAAAUAGAAUGCAGCACAUAUAUAAACUCUCACAUAUAUGGUCACAUGAAGAGUCAUUUGCAUACCCACAUUUAUUUUAGCAUUGUUACUAAAAGCCAGUAGGUAAAAGCAAGGCAAAUUUCGGUCACCAAAUCGUUCAGCAGAUAUAAUUUGAAAUACAAAAAUGCCAAAAUAUUACUCAGUUUGAAAAAAAGCAGGAAAUAUUCUAACAACUAUAAAGGUAAAUCCUGAUGACUUUAUGCAAAAUAAAAUGAGCCAGCCACAAACAGAUUUUAUGAGAUAUACAAAGCAGUUAUACUCUUAGAAACAGAAAACAGAAUGGCAUUUGAAAAGUGCCAGGAAAUGGGAAAAAUUGGUAGUUGUUUAAUGUGUAUUGUAAACUUUCUAGAAAUCUUUUAUAAAAUAAUGUAAAUAUACUUAACAUGCCUGAAAUGUACAGUGUUUUUGAGUCAGGGUCUCACUCUGUCACCCAAGCUGGGGUGCAUGGCACAAUUACAGCUCACUGCAGCCUCAAACUUCCAGGUUCAAGUAAUCCUCCCUCCUCAAUCUCCCAAGUAGACAGGACCACUUCACCAUGUCUGGCUACGUUUUAAAAUGCUUUACAGAGAUGAGGUUUCCAUAUGUCUUCCAGGAUGUUCUCAAGCUUUUGGGCUCAGUCUUCCUGCCUUGGCCUCCCAAAAUCCGGGGAUUACAGACGUGAACCACCACGACUGGCCAUGAAAUGUACAUUCAAAUAGAUUUAAGAUGGUAAAUUUUAGGUUAUAUGUUUGUACAAUUGUUUUUUAGAAGAAUAACUGAAGAUCCAGAAUUAUAAACCUUUCCAAAAAUUACCUUCAAGUCACAAAAGUGUUUCCCUCACACAUAGGAAAUAUGUUUAUUAUUAAACACAAGGUGAAAAUAAGACUAUUUCCAUGACUACUCAUUUAGACAAGAUAAAGCCACCAUUAAAAAUCAGCUAAGAAAAAAUAUAUACAAGAUUAGCCAUAACCAAAAUUGGGGUCAUAUUUAUAGAUAAAAACACACACACAUAUAAUCAGAUUGUAAUAGAGAUAAGGCUGAUUUAUCUCUUAAACCCCACACCGACUUACAUGUAAAAACAGAAUUGCAAAUUGUCUAAAAUUGUAAAACCAAAAAACACAAUAAACUUAUGUUAAGAAACCUACACUGAAAAAACGCAUUAAUAUGAAACUAAAAAAUAAUAAUAAAUGUUUACUCAUAAAAUCUGGUAUGUAACUUGAUGUAGCAUUAACAAAGAAUUUGUGUAGAUAACUGGAAUAUUUUACUGUAACUGUGUACUCAUUGAAGGUGGCUAUUUUGAAUCAUUGGCAUGCACUGUAAUGCAGUAAAAGUUUCAGAUAAAAUGCAGUAUAAUCAUAAACAGAAGACUCUAAUGACAAACUGAUAAAUAAGCAUUUUAAUAAAUAAGAUCAUUUCUAAGUUUUAAAUAUAUGCUAUUCUUACACAAAAUAAAACUGCUGUAAUCCAAAUUUAGAAGCAAAAAAUAGCCUUACAUUGCUAAAUAAAGAAAAAAUAUAUCUAUUUUGCAGAAUAUGGUCAGGGCCUCUGAUAUAUAAAACAAAUAUUUGGGAACAAAUUAUGUCAUAUUUUAGGUACUAGCUGACAAAAGUGAGUGAAAAUCCUGUCUUUUUUUGCCUGUCUAUAUUUCCUUUUUGUCUGUCUACUAAUUAUCUAAUUCACCUCAGACAUAACAUGUCAAUUUUAGUAUAUUGUCCUAAAUGUCUAAAUCUAAAACUACUGACAAAAUUGAAAUAGAAAGUAGAAAGUAAAAAUGUACAGGAAGAGUGACAUCACUAAGAUGGAAAAAUAAAUGGUGCCUUAUUUGCUUAUUUUCUGACAGCAAGAAAAUUCAUCAGCCUGAUAAAAAUGCCUUUAUGAGAGAAACAGGAAUCAUGACUCAAACCUGUAAUGAGAAAUGCUUUAGGACAGAACUUCAAGAUCAACCUGGGUCAUGUAGCAAGAACCCAUCUCCAAAACAAGUGCCCUUAAAGAGCUUUGAGAUCUAUGGAGGGAGUUGUGAAACUCUGCUAAUGCCCAAGAUUGAGGAAUAUUCUCUUCAGAAGGCAGGCUUUCAUUCAGGUGGCAAACUACAGGACCCCUGUUCUUGGCUACAGACCAGAAAAUGGCCCACCAAACUUGGUCCCACUGAGAAUUCUGAACUUACCCUGCAAUCAUCCCAAACUCCUCCCAGCCACAGUCUGGGAGAGGUCUUGCCCUUUCAGAGGUCUGGAGAGAGACACCCCUUUAUAGCCACGCAGCAGGCCUGCAGACCUUGGCCAUUACUGUGGUCCCUGAAGCAGUUUCAUGACUCAGUUUUAUCACCCUGAGCCACAGUUCAUGGCAAGUUCUGCCUAUGUAGAAACCCACACAGUGACCUUGGGAAAUCCUCUCUGGUACUCAGUGAAAGCCAAACUCAUCUACAUCCUAAUAUAAAGCCUACCAUAUGCAGACCCAAGUGCAGAAAUCUGCCCUAGCGUCUGCCCUACAGAGCAAAGUCCUGAAGGAUACUCACUCUGUCCAAAAAUAAAAUGGGAAUUACAACUACCUAAGCCCCUUGUAACAAGCCAACUAAAGGUGGACCCUAAUGCAGACCCAGCAGCCUUUGUAAACAAGCUACCUACCCCUCUCCACUACAAACCCAUAGGACAUCCCAUCACCCUGGGGGCUCAACAAAAGAUCUUCACUUUCUGAAACCAAUUUAUAAAAACUUGAAGAGGGCCAGGCGCGGUGGCUCACGCCUGUAAUCCCAGAACUUUGGGAGGCCAAGGCGGGUGGAUCACGAGGUCAGGAGACCGAGACUAUCCUGGCUAACACAGUGAAACCCUGGCUCU
This 3339-nucleotide long non-coding RNA is filed under the name Homo sapiens (human). Its description in RNAcentral is "HSALNT0396733". Lineage: Eukaryota; Metazoa; Chordata; Mammalia; Primates; Hominidae. The record is from RNAcentral.